This 108-nucleotide small RNA is filed under the name Myroides guanonis. RNAcentral's name for it is "6S-Flavo RNA". It matches the Rfam family "6S-Flavo RNA". The record is from Rfam by way of RNAcentral. Lineage: Bacteria; Pseudomonadati; Bacteroidota; Flavobacteriia; Flavobacteriales; Flavobacteriaceae.
ACUCAACACUAACAAAUUAAAAUGGGUGAAUAUUUGCUACUAAAGCACGCUGCAUCACGCAGAUCCUUGAACAGCAAUUUAGCUCAAAACUUGUCUAUUUUCGAGUUU